AAUAAUUUCUUUUAGAAAUUAUCUGUAAAAAAAAAAUAAAAAAAACAUCUCGAUUAUUUUAAUGGCGAUUUUACAUUUGUCUAAAUAAUUACGAGAUCAACAAUUUCGCGGUGCAUAGUCAGAAAUAAAAAAAAAUAUAAAAGGGAAACAACAUAGAGUGAUAUACAAGUGAAGAUUUCGCUGGAUAUUCACUUUGGAAUCAUGUUCUUUGUGUGUCUUGACCAAUGCUCUAUUAACUGAUUAUUCUAGCAACUAAAUUAUUAAUUCAGUGGUCCAAAUUUCAUCAAUGAAUAGUCUGUAUAUCAGUGAUGUCCUUCUUCUCAUAGAGUAAUGUUGCUUUUUUUUCUAUACUCGCGCGCGCGCGAUACUAACUAUUAUUGUUAAAAUAUUCCAUGCAUGAUCUGGAACACGUUGAAUACACAUUAAAUCGAAUUAUAGAAUAAGCGAAUCAAUAAAUAACCGGAAUUUUAGUGAUUGUUCUCAUGUCGAAUGUCCUCAUAUAAAAAAUUGCCUGCUUUUGUUUAGUAAGAUAUAUGAUCAGAAGUAUACGUGAGAUCAGGUGUGUCUCAAAAUAGUUGCAAAUUAGUUUAAUUCUAGUUUCUUUUCAAUUAAGGCUUCUCUUCGGUUAAUGUGAGUUAGAUUAGAUUAGAUUUACUCUGUUGUAAUUUCAAUAAACAUUCGUCAUUUAUAAUGAUGCUAGAUUAUAAUAUGUACUUAAUCAAUAUAUAAAAACAGUUGAAAACGUGCUAAUUGAAUUUAAACAAUAUUUUGAAAAAUGCAAAUUUAUCGUAUAUAUCCAUUUUACUGGAUUUUAUUUCAAUUUGUAACAUAAAUAUCCAUGUAUAGGGCAUGAUUCUUGUGAUUGCAAUAUAAUUUCGCGUUUAAAAUAAAGGAUAAAUUCUAUCGUAUAGAUAUAAUUCUGGUAUAAUUGAUUGUAUCAACCAAAUGUGCAUUACAUUCAAAUAAAAUAAAUAAUAAACUUUUUUCAUAAGCGGAUAACUAUUACGAAGUAAUAUUGCAGUUACAGAACAUUCUAUUUAAUUAUUACUCGUCGAAGGCUCGCAGCACUACUACUAUUCGUAUGUAAAAUAGAAAAACUAGACAACGAUUUAUUACUUGUGUGUGAUCAGUGUGCAUUGUUAGUUCAAUUUAUCAAUAGUUCAUAUCGAAGGUACGAUCUACAAGAAUCGUCCUACCUCUUGCUAUGGCUCCGCGAAUCUUUAAUACAUUUCUUUAAAUUAUUACAAUUGUAUAGCGUUAUACUCGUGAAUACUAGAUAUUCCUCUAAGACCUCCGAGAGCAAGUGUGCAAAGUGAAUGUGACAUAUGUGUGGAAUGCGAGCGCAUUAAUAUGCGAUAUAUUUGUGUGCGUGUAUGCGAAUGAAAGUAAGUACGAAAAUAUAAAAAUAUUUGCGAGAAAGAGACGGGCUACCGUUAGCAAAUAAAUAACAAAUGUAAUAAAAGAGAUCGCUUUUCGUGGAGUAUGUAUUUGUAGAUUCAAGGUUUAAGGAGACAAUUAGGGAAAUACGUACGACGGAGUUGGACCCACGACAUAGAGCCAUACUGGGAGAGAAUAUCAACGUCGCGCGAUUGUUUUUACAUUUUAUCAAUUUAUUAAUACUAGCAACACAUGUUUCGACAGCCGUUAUCUCAAUAUAUAGAACCAUGAUAAUUGCGCUUUGAAGGAAUUAUAGAUUUCUCUUGCGUGAAAUGGCUAAAACUGUCGAAAUGUUCCUGCUCGCUCUUACAACCCGAUUCAUAUAUCAUUCUAAGGAGAAGUGACCAGUUUUUACAGCAGAGAGCCAGUACUGCCUUUCAAAAGCUAUGUGAUUAUAGAGUAAUAUAUAUCGUUCAUCAUAUAAAAGUUUGUUUCUUAAUCCGCCUCAAUAAACCGUUUUAUCGAAUCGAAUUUUCGCUAAGCUGAAUAUCGUUUACAUUUUCCAUAGAAAAUUCUAUGCUGUUAAUUUUAUCGACAAUUGUUAGUAUAAAACGCUUAUAUUGUUAUUCGUAAUGUUUAUAUAGAGCUUUCUAUGAGAUACGCUGUGCGUUUUAAGCGACUAUUUUUGGAGCUACUUUCUUCAAAUAAUCAUCAACUCCCCGAUGUGAAGAAAAUAAAAAUAUAUAAAUGCUUUGAGCAACUUCGGAUUGUGAUAGAUAGUGGAAUUUACAUCAUUAAGUUGAAUCUUCUGUUUUAUGAUGAUUUUGAGAAGGAAAAAAAAAAUUCUUCAUGAUGCUUUGUUAUCGGUACGUUCAGUAUCACAUGUAUUAUAGGCAAAAAGUUAAAUUUACUGCGUUGAUUAUUGUACGAAUUUACUCUCGUCGUUACUAUUUUUAUCUCUUUCAAGCGUACUAUCAUUUACUGCAUUGUCAUGUUCUAAAUGCGUGCGACGCAGAAGGAGAUAUGUAAAGUUAGGAAUUGAUGUUUAUAAAAUCAUUCAAUGCAGUUCACUUUAACUUUGACGAUACGGAGUUAACUUUGGAGUUUACUCUUCCUUUCUCUCUCUCGCAUAGUAUAUAACAAGUUUAAAGUCAAUAUUCUAUUACGUGUGAUUUUUGUUGUAAUAACUCGAAGACUAUAAAGAAGAUUGAAUUAUUGUUUCUGAACGAGAUAGUGAAUGAUAAGACGAUAUUCUUAAUAUUUCAAUCUCAUUCUCAGGAUGGUUUUAAGCUAAUUUAGAAAUCGUAGAAUUUAUAAAACAGCCGCGUGCGUUAUAUGUUUCUGCGUACAGAAUUCAAUUGCCAAAAUUUUCUCGCAAGAGUUUGCAUUAAUGCCAUUUAAUCAUACUAAAUGUACCUGCAUUGAAUACUGUAUUGCGUACCGAUGAGUAUUAUUUUUUCCUCUCAACAAACUGAAUAUGCUUUACAAAUUGCGAUUUUAUUCAUAUAAAAUUAUAUAAAUGAGAUUGUGAAUAUCUCGAAUAAUUCUUUCUCUCUCUUUUUCUUAGCUUAUAGUGUAUGGUUUUCUUUAGGAUACUAUUGUGUCGAAUAUAUUAUUUUAUUUUUAUUUUAUUUUCAAGUAUAUUAUAUAUAUUUAUUUUUAUUGUGUAUAUUAAAUGAAUGUUUUGUCGUGUGUUGAAAAUGCUCUCGAAGAGUUUUUUGCGAAAUUAAAGUUGUAACAUAUAUAAGUUUUAGAGUAAUUUUUGUUCUUAUUUUUUCAAAAAUUUCUGUAAUUACUUAAUUCUUAUAUUUUUGUAAUUUAUCAUGUCGCAAAUCUGCUUAUAUUACAAUAAAGGCUCCGUAAAACGGAUGUAUUAUUGAAAUUGAAAUGUUUAUUUGCUAAGUAAAGCUCUACCAUGAGAAAGUAAAAUUGAUGCGGAAAACAUUUUUGUGUCACAACUUGUCUCUUACGUCUUCGAUAGAUUAUUACGAAUGUUUUUUAAACAAUAAAAUAUAUAUAGAUUAAGAAAAUUGUAUUUUCACUACAUGAAGCACAAAUUGCGAACAAAUGUAUCCGCAUUAUCUAUUAUUUCUUUUUUAUAUAAAAAAAAUUGCAAGUUGAUUAUAUCAAUAAGAAAUAGCAUAAGAGUUCUUUUCUUUUUUCCCUUUUUUCUUUUUCUUCUUAAUUUUUCUUAUUUUUAUCGAUAAAUAGAAUUGUAUGAAAUUGUCGCGUAUGUCGCGUUUACUUUUGCAUCGUAUCUCGACGCGUUGCAGGUAAAAUAUACUUAUAGUCCAAAUGUGUUCAGUAGUUUUUCGAUAAUAUUUAAUUAAAAAGUGCAUAUUUGCCGAAAUUUAUUUCGAAAUGUUAAGCAUUAAGCUUAAUAAGAUGCAAGCUUAAUAAGAUUAAGAAUAAACUACAUAAUCAGUAUUGUUGCACUUAUAAAAAGCAACAAAACUCUGUCACAGCGGAUUGUAAAUGACAAAUGUGUCUUUCAUAUAAUACGCUUGCUCAUGAUAGAUGUAAAACUGAUUGUUUCUUAUAUCGGGAAUACUAUAAAUUCGACGAAGGAGAUAUAAUGAGGUAUUAAUUGAGCAAUUUGCAUACACAUAAUGCAUUAGAAGAUAUGCAGCACGUUUUUCAUGUGUAGGAAAGUACACGAAAAACAUGAUUAAUAAAAAAAAAACACUUUUUAUUAUUGAUAAAAAAAGAACGCAAGAAAUAUUUUUUCGUUGCACAGUCUACUUGAGAUAUUUAUAUCGCCGAUUUAACAUUUAAACUCUUCCCUUUCUCUUAUCGAGGGUCCGCCGUCAGUUUCGCGUCCCUUCACUUUUAAUAAAAUAGAAGAUCAUUAUUAUUAUUAAGAAAAUCUAUAUAAUAUUGUUAGAAAUGACAUACAAUUCGUUUGUCUCGUGCGCAAAUUGGAUCGAUCUCUGGUGUGUUUUUCGAUACUUCUUUCACUGUGACUCAAUAUAAAUCGUCCAAUUAUCAGCAACUGUAAUGUUGUUAUAUCGUCGUUGUAUGAUUAAUGAGCUUGUCUGGUUAUUGUAUAAAUAAGAGAGGAAUUAUAAUCAUUACCCCGUUUGUUUUAAACGGUAGAAAAAGAAAUCAAUAGUCAUCAGUGGAUAUGUAUAUUCAUAGAGUCUGGUGGUGAGGAGAUAAAGCGAUCCUAUCUUUAAUUUCGUUUUUUACGAUGAUAUAUUUUUGUUAUUGGAUAUGUAGAUUAAUAAAAUUCCGAAUACACUAA
Molecule: non-coding RNA, 4621 nt
Organism: Nylanderia fulva
Lineage: Eukaryota; Metazoa; Arthropoda; Insecta; Hymenoptera; Formicidae
Source: RefSeq, a predicted model, not a curated record